This 492-nucleotide ribosomal RNA is filed under the name uncultured bacterium. RNAcentral's name for it is "partial 16S ribosomal RNA". It matches the Rfam family "Bacterial small subunit ribosomal RNA", at positions 29 to 507 of the family's 1533-position model. The record is from RNAcentral.
AGUGAACGCUGGCGGUAGGCCUAACACAUGCAAGUCGAACGGCAGCACAGUAAGAGCUUGCUCUUACGGGUGGCGAGUGGCGGACGGGUGAGGAAUACAUCGGAAUCUACUUUUUCGUGGGGGAUAACGUAGGGAAACUUACGCUAAUACCGCAUACGACCUACGGGUGAAAGCAGGGGAUCUUCGGACCUUGCGCGAUUGAAUGAGCCGAUGUCGGAUUAGCUAGUUGGCGGGGUAAAGGCCCACCAAGGCGACGAUCCGUAGCUGGUCUGAGAGGAUGAUCAGCCACACUGGAACUGAGACACGGUCCAGACUCCUACGGGAGGCAGCAGUGGGGAAUAUUGGACAAUGGGCGCAAGCCUGAUCCAGCCAUACCGCGUGGGUGAAGAAGGCCUUCGAGUUGUAAAGCCCUUUUGUUGGGAAAGAAAAGCAGCAGGUUAAUACCCCGCUGCUCUGACGGUACCCAAAGAAUAAGCACCGGCUAACUUCGUG